RNAcentral lists this ribosomal RNA (472 nucleotides) under uncultured bacterium. RNAcentral's name for it is "bacterial SSU rRNA". It matches the Rfam family "Bacterial small subunit ribosomal RNA", at positions 329 to 793 of the family's 1533-position model. The record is from RNAcentral.
CGCUAUCCAUCCUACGGGAGGCAGCAGUGGGGAAUAUUGCACAAUGGGCGCAAGCCUGAUGCAGCCAUGCCGCGUGUAUGAAGAAGGCCUUCGGGUUGUAAAGUACUUUCAGCAGUGAGGAAGGUGGAUGCGUUAAUAGCGUAUUCAUUUGACGUUAGCUGCAGAAGAAGCACCGGCUAACUCCGUGCCAGCAGCCGCGGUAAUACGGAGGGUGCGAGCGUUAAUCGGAAUUACUGGGCGUAAAGCGCAUGCAGGUGGUUUGUUAAGUCAGAUGUGAAAGCCCGGGGCUCAACCUCGGAAUUGCAUUUGAAACUGGCAGACUAGAGUACUGUAGAGGGGGUAGAAUUUCAGGUGUAGCGGUGAAAUGCGUAGAGAUCUGAAGGAAUACCGGUGGCGAAGGCGGCCCCCUGGACAGAUACUGACACUCAGAUGCGAAAGCGUGGGGAGCAAACAGGAUUAGAUACCCUGGUAG